GUUGUAUGGUUAAGUGACUAAGCGUACACGGUGGAUGCCUUGGCAGUCAGAGGCGAUGAAAGACGUAGUAACUUGCGAUAAGCCCAGAUUAGGUAGUAACAACCAUUUGAGUCUGGGAUUUCUGAAUGGGGAAACCCACGUGCAUAAGCACGUAUCCUUACCUGAAUACAUAGGGUAAGGAGGCGAACCGGGGGAACUGAAACAUCUAAGUACCCCGAGGAAAAGAAAUCAACCGAGAUUCCGAAAGUAGCGGCGAGCGAAAUUGGACUAGCCCUUAAGCUUUACACGCGUUAGACGAACGGUCUGGAAAGUCCGACGAUACAGGGUGAUAGUCCCGUAGUUGACGACGUGUGUUCAGUGAAAUCGAGUAGGGCGGGACACGUGAUAUCCUGUCUGAAUAUGGGGGGACCAUCCUCCAAGGCUAAAUACUACUGACUGACCGAUAGUGAACCAGUACCGUGAGGGAAAGGCGAAAAGAACCCCUGUGAGGGGAGUGAAAUAGAACCUGAAACCGUGUACGUACAAGCAGUAGGAGCACCUUCGUGGUGUGACUGCGUACCUUUUGUAUAAUGGGUCAGCGACUUAUAUUCAGUGGCAAGGUUAACCAUCUAGGGGAGCCGUAGGGAAACCGAGUCUUAACUGGGCGUUCAGUCUCUGGAUAUAGACCCGAAACCAGGUGAUCUAGCCAUGGGCAGGUUGAAGGUUGAGUAACAUCAACUGGAGGACCGAACCGACUAAUGUUGAAAAAUUAGCGGAUGACUUGUGGCUAGGGGUGAAAGGCCAAUCAAACCUGGAGAUAGCUGGUUCUCCCCGAAAGCUAUUUAGGUAGCGCCUCGGACGAAUACUACUGGGGGUAGAGCACUGUUAAGGCUAGGGGGUCAUCCCGACUUACCAACCCUUUGCAAACUCCGAAUACCAGUAAGUACUAUCCGGGAGACACACGGCGGGUGCUAACGUCCGUCGUGGAGAGGGAAACAACCCAGACCGCCAGCUAAGGUCCCAAAUUACUACUAAGUGGGAAACGAUGUGGGAAGGCUCAGACAGCCAGGAUGUUGGCUUAGAAGCAGCCAUCAUUUAAAGAAAGCGUAAUAGCUCACUGGUCGAGUCGGCCUGCGCGGAAGAUGUAACGGGGCUAAGUAGUAAACCGAAGCUGCGGCAAUGCACUUUGUGCAUUGGGUAGGGGAGCGUUCUGUAAGCGGUUGAAGGUGUGUGGUAACGCAUGCUGGACGUAUCAGAAGUGCGAAUGCUGACAUGAGUAACGAUAAAGGGGGUGAAAAACCUCCUCGCCGGAAGACCAAGGGUUCCUGUCCAACGUUAAUCGGGGCAGGGUAAGUCGACCCCUAAGGCGAGGCCGAAAGGCGUAGUCGAUGGGAAACGGGUUAAUAUUCCCGUACUUCUUACAAUUGCGAUGGGGGGACGGAGAAGGCUAGGUGGGCCUGGCGACGGUUGUCCAGGUUCAAGUGCGUAGGCUUGAGAGUUAGGUAAAUCCGGCUCUCUUUAAGGCUGAGACACGACGUCGAGCACCUACGGGUGUGAAGUCAUUGAUGCCAUGCUUCCAGGAAAAGCCUCUAAGCUUCAGAUUGUAAGGAAUCGUACCCCAAACCGACACAGGUGGUCGGGUAGAGAAUACCAAGGCGCUUGAGAGAACUCGGGUGAAGGAACUAGGCAAAAUGGUACCGUAACUUCGGGAGAAGGUACGCUCUUGAUGGUGAAGUCCCUUGCGGAUGGAGCUGACGAGAGUCGCAGAUACCAGGUGGCUGCAACUGUUUAUUAAAAACACAGCACUGUGCAAAAUCGUAAGAUGACGUAUACGGUGUGACGCCUGCCCGGUGCCGGAAGGUUAAUUGAUGGGGUUAGACUUCGGUCGAAGCUCUUGAUCGAAGCCCCGGUAAACGGCGGCCGUAACUAUAACGGUCCUAAGGUAGCGAAAUUCCUUGUCGGGUAAGUUCCGACCUGCACGAAUGGCGUAAUGAUGGCCACGCUGUCUCCACCCGAGACUCAGUGAAAUUGAAAUCGCUGUGAAGAUGCAGUGUACCCGCGGCUAGACGGAAAGACCCCGUGAACCUUUACUACAGCUUGGCACUGAACAUUGACCCUACAUGUGUAGGAUAGGUGGGAGGCUUUGAAGCACGUACGCCAGUAUGUGUGGAGCCGUCCUUGAAAUACCACCCUUGUAGUGUUGAUGUUCUAACGUCGACCCCUUAUCGGGGUUGCGGACAGUGCCUGGUGGGUAGUUUGACUGGGGCGGUCUCCUCCCAAAGAGUAACGGAGGAGCACGAAGGUGGGCUAAUCACGGUUGGACAUCGUGAGGUUAGUGCAAUGGCAUAAGCCCGCUUGACUGCGAGAAUGACAAUUCGAGCAGGUGCGAAAGCAGGUCAUAGUGAUCCGGUGGUUCUGAAUGGAAGGGCCAUCGCUCAACGGAUAAAAGGUACUCCGGGGAUAACAGGCUGAUACCGCCCAAGAGUUCAUAUCGACGGCGGUGUUUGGCACCUCGAUGUCGGCUCAUCACAUCCUGGGGCUGAAGUCGGUCCCAAGGGUAUGGCUGUUCGCCAUUUAAAGUGGUACGCGAGCUGGGUUUAGAACGUCGUGAGACAGUUCGGUCCCUAUCUGCCGUGGGCGUUGGAAGAUUGAAGGGGGCUGCUCCUAGUACGAGAGGACCGGAGUGGACGAACCUCUGGUGUUCGGGUUGUGUCGCCAGACGCAUUGCCCGGUAGCUAAGUUCGGAAUCGAUAACCGCUGAAAGCAUCUAAGCGGGAAGCGAGCCCUGAGAUGAGUCUUCCCUGAUACUUUAAGUAUCCUAAAGGGUUGUCGGAGACUACGACGUUGAUAGGUCAGGUGUGUAAGUGCUGUGAGGCAUUGAGCUAACUGAUACUAAUUGCCCGUGAGGCUUAACCAUACAACACCCAAGGGGUUU
Molecule: ribosomal RNA, 2914 nt
Filed under: Vibrio parahaemolyticus
Lineage: Bacteria; Pseudomonadati; Pseudomonadota; Gammaproteobacteria; Vibrionales; Vibrionaceae
Description: bacterial LSU rRNA
Rfam family: Bacterial large subunit ribosomal RNA
Source: RNAcentral